AGUCCUUCGCCGUCCCUCGCCGUCCUUCGCCAUCGCACGCCACCGCACCCCAUCUCUCGAAAUCUGCAGACAUCUUGAUUUUUCCCACGCUGUCUGUCAGGUCUCCGCCGCCACUCGACGCCAGGGCGCCGGGCCUUGUGGGCUGUGCUGCACCUCGGACGGCUUCGCACCAGCCAGCGCCCUCUCUCUCCUGCAGCACUCUGAUCUGCACCCCCUGAGGGGCUUCCACUGUCCGCGGGGUGAGAAUGCCCCUGGGAGUGUCACAUGACUGCCGCCCCAUGUGUGUGAGAGGCGUCCUCUGGGAGAGCAUGGAUCCUGAGGUCCCAGGAUUGUCAGCUGACCUCUGUCCUGUGUGCCCAGUGGCCCCAGGUGACGUGUCUUCAAGAAGAGGCUGAGCUGCGGUGCUUGUAAGGGUCUCAUUCUGUCACCCAGGCUGGAGUGCAGUGGUGCAAUGAUGGCUCACUGCAGCCUCGACCUGGGCUCAAGUGAUCCUCCACCUCAGCUUCCUGAGUAGCUGGGACCACAGAGUCAUGUGCUGUUCCUGGGGCUUGGAUGAUGUAGGGGAAGCAAGGUGAAAGUGGUAUCCCGUGGUUCCACGUUCUGUCCUGCUGUGGGGCUGUCCCUCACAUGCUUUCAGUGGCUGUUGCAGAGGAAGAGCCUCCGGAAAUCUGCGUCUCAGCCUUAGAUCCAAGGACAGUCCAAGGAAGUCCUAAGACCAUGGAGUUGGUGAUCUGGGAUCUGGGUUUGCUGAUAUUUCUCACCGUGAAUCUCUUGGUGGUGUUUGUGGGCACGAGAGGGGCAGAGAAUGGAGAGUGAGGCUACCACAUGAAGCGUCACCAGAGCUGCUCCCUGCUGCCUGCUCAGAGCACCCCGGAUCCACUGUUCAAUCUGCACAAGAUUCGGGGUCCAGACAUGGGAGACUUCAGCUGCCUCAGAGGACCGUGGACAGGGAAGGCCAGCCUCGCAUCCCUCUGUCCAUGCCUGGAAUGACUUUAAUAACCAAGAGUUUUAUUUUUGAAUUUGUAGCUGUCGUUCACUUUUUACCCACCCAUUCAAUAAACCUUACAGAAUUGCUCCA
RNAcentral lists this long non-coding RNA (1078 nucleotides) under Homo sapiens (human). RNAcentral's name for it is "small nucleolar RNA host gene 17, transcript variant 24 (SNHG17)". Lineage: Eukaryota; Metazoa; Chordata; Mammalia; Primates; Hominidae. The record is from RNAcentral.